RNAcentral lists this non-coding RNA (120 nucleotides) under Platyophrya macrostoma. The record is from RNAcentral. Lineage: Eukaryota; Ciliophora; Colpodea; Cyrtolophosidida; Platyophryidae.
CAAAUACAAAGGGAGAAAAAAAAGCAAGCGAGCAAAAAAUAUGUGGAGCCUGGCUUAACAUGAUUAUGUUGUGGCCUUCUUUUAUUUUAUUAUCUCUAUAUCCCUUCUCUCUCUCUCUCU